Molecule: long non-coding RNA, 162 nt
Organism: Perca fluviatilis (European perch)
Lineage: Eukaryota; Metazoa; Chordata; Actinopteri; Perciformes; Percidae
Exons: 3
Source: RefSeq, a predicted model, not a curated record
AAAAAACUGGUUGUCUGGUUCCCACUGAUUGUGUUGAUUUCACUUCAUUGUACUUCACACACGCCUGCGAUCAAGCAUAACGCCCCUGGACUCUCAUUCUUCCUUUGACUUUCUUCCAGUACAAAAGCAGCCAUGGAAGGAUUCCUCAGGUGUUCAUGUUUU